This 402-nucleotide ribosomal RNA is filed under the name uncultured bacterium. RNAcentral's name for it is "bacterial SSU rRNA". It matches the Rfam family "Archaeal small subunit ribosomal RNA", at positions 339 to 743 of the family's 1478-position model. The record is from RNAcentral.
GCGCGAAACCUUCACAAUGCACGAAAGUGUGAUGAGGGUACUCCGAGUGCGCAUACAUUGUAUGUGCUUUUCUGCAGCGUAAAUAGUUGCAGGAAUAAGGGCUGGGCAAGACCGGUGCCAGCCGCCGCGGUAACACCGGCAGCCCUAGUGGUGGCCGCUUUUAUUGGGCCUAAAGCGUCCGUAGCCGGACAGGCAAGUCUUUGGGUAAAUCCUACGUCUUAAGCGUGGGAAUUCUAAAGAUACUACCUGUCUUGAGGCCGGGAGAGGCUGGAGGUACUCCUGGGGUAGGGGUAAAAUCCUAUAAUCCUGGGGGACCACCGAUGGCGAAGGCAUCCAGCUGGAACGGGCCUGACGGUGAGGGACGAAACCCAGGGGAGCGAGCCGGAUUAGAGACCCCGUGUA